GGAUGUGAGGGUAAUCUGGCUUCAACAUCUGUCACCCCAUUGAUUACCAGGGUUGAUUCAGCUGCUCUGUCAGGCUAGGUGGGUAUACCCUUUUACUCCCACUGCUUCACUUAUCCGGGAUAGAGACAGACUGAUCUUCAGAUGAGGGUAUAAGAGUAGCUGCAUUUCCCUGCUAGAACCUCCAAACAAGUUUUCAAAACUUAGAUGGGAAUCAGAUGGUGGUUUACCCUGCCGAGUACAUAGUUACCAUAUGUAGAGACCUGGGU
Molecule: small nuclear RNA, 266 nt
Filed under: Erinaceus europaeus (western European hedgehog)
Lineage: Eukaryota; Metazoa; Chordata; Mammalia; Eulipotyphla; Erinaceidae
Description: 7SK RNA
Rfam family: 7SK RNA
About the family: 7SK was discovered as an abundant small nuclear RNA in the mid-70s but a possible function has only recently been suggested. Two independent studies have found that 7SK RNA binds the CDK9/cyclin T complex (known as elongation factor P-TEFb).
Source: Rfam by way of RNAcentral